This 297-nucleotide ribosomal RNA is filed under the name uncultured bacterium. Its description in RNAcentral is "partial 16S ribosomal RNA". It matches the Rfam family "Bacterial small subunit ribosomal RNA", at positions 334 to 629 of the family's 1533-position model. The record is from RNAcentral.
GUUUCCUACGGGACGCAGCAGUGAGGAAUAUUGGUCAAUGGGCGGGAGCCUGAACCAGCCAAGUCGCGUGAAGGAAGAAGGUACUUAGUAUUGUAAACUUCUUUUGUCGGGGAACAAGGGCGGAGACGCGUCUCCGGAUGAGUGUACCCGAAGAAAAAGCAUCGGCUAACUCCGUGCCAGCAGCCGCGGUAAUACGGAGGAUGCGAGCGUUAUCCGGAUUUAUUGGGUUUAAAGGGUGCGCAGGCGGGAGAUCAAGGCAGCGGUAAAAUGUCGGGGCUCAACCCCGGACGGCCGGUG